This 468-nucleotide ribosomal RNA is filed under the name uncultured bacterium. RNAcentral's name for it is "partial 16S ribosomal RNA". It matches the Rfam family "Bacterial small subunit ribosomal RNA", at positions 28 to 507 of the family's 1533-position model. The record is from RNAcentral.
GACGAACGCUGGCGGCGUGCUUAACACAUGCAAGUCGAACGGAAAGGCCCUGCUUUUGUGGGGUGCUCGAGUGGCGAACGGGUGAGUAACACGUGAGUAACCUGCCCUUGACUUUGGGAUAACUUCAGGAAACUGGGGCUAAUACCGGAUAGGAGCUCCUGCUGCAUGGUGGGGGUUGGAAAGUUUCGGCGGUUGGGGAUGGACUCGCGGCUUAUCAGCUUGUUGGUGGGGUAGUGGCUUACCAAGGCUUUGACGGGUAGCCGGCCUGAGAGGGUUACCGGCCACAUUGGGACUGAGAUACGGCCCAGACUCCUACGGGAGGAAGCAGUGGGGAAUAUUGCACAAUGGGCGGAAGCCUGAUGCAGCAACGCCGCGUGCGGGAUGACGGCCUUCGGGUUGUAAACCGCUUUCGCCUGUGACGAAGCGUGAGUGACGGUAAUGGGUAAAGAAGCACCGGCUAACUACGUG